RNAcentral lists this long non-coding RNA (406 nucleotides) under Elaeis guineensis (African oil palm). RNAcentral describes it as "long non-coding RNA (EGUI_LNC049750)". Lineage: Eukaryota; Viridiplantae; Streptophyta; Magnoliopsida; Arecales; Arecaceae. The record is from RNAcentral.
GUGGUGCAGUGGGAGUUCGUCCGUCGGGGGAGUUCAGUCAGCACCGUGGAAAUCCGACUGUUGGAGAAGUCCGGAGAGGUACCAUCUGCAGUCGAAAGCCGGAUGAGUCUUGGGAAGAUCAAUCCUGCAGAGAACUUCGACUGAGGGUAUUUUAUACCCAACACCAGUCCUCCUACUUCCGAGUUUGAAUUUUGAAUGAAGGAAGUAUAGAAAGAUUGUCACAGCCGAAGUUGCUCCCUUGAAUUCUGCACACGACUGCCCUCGAAAAUCUUGGCAUUUAAUACGCGCAUGUCGGAGCUUUUUUUCGAUUAGGAUGAUCUGAAAAGCCUUUUCAGAACUCCCACCAGGACGUGAUCCUAAGCAUCACGCCAUGAAAGUCUGCGAACGGUCAACACCGGAUCACGGC